This 205-nucleotide ribosomal RNA is filed under the name uncultured bacterium. RNAcentral describes it as "partial 16S ribosomal RNA". It matches the Rfam family "Bacterial small subunit ribosomal RNA", at positions 568 to 774 of the family's 1533-position model. The record is from RNAcentral.
CGCGUAGGUGGUUUGGUAAGCGAGAUGUGAAAGCCCCGGGCUUAACCUGGGAACGGCAUUUCGAACUGCAGCUAGAGUGUGGUAGAGGGUAGUGGAAUUUCCUGUGUAGCGGUGAAAUGCGUAGAUAUAGGAAGGAACACCAGUGGCGAAGGCGGCUACCUGGACCAACACUGACACUGAGGUGCGAAAGCGUGGGGAGCAAACA